UACGUAGGGCGCAAGCGUUGUCCGGAAUUAUUGGGCGUAAAGAGCUCGUAGGCGGCUUGUCACGUCGAUUGUGAAAGCCCCGAGGCUUAACCUCGGGUCUGCAGUCGAUACGGGCUAGCUAGAGUGUGGUAGGGGAGAUCGGAAUUCCUGGUGUAGCGGUGAAAUGCGCAGAUAUCAGGAGGAACACCGGUGGCGAAGGCGGAUCUCUGGGCCAUUACUGACGCUGAGGAGCGAAAGCGUGGGGAGCGAACAGG
RNAcentral lists this ribosomal RNA (254 nucleotides) under uncultured bacterium. RNAcentral describes it as "partial 16S ribosomal RNA". It matches the Rfam family "Bacterial small subunit ribosomal RNA", at positions 524 to 776 of the family's 1533-position model. The record is from RNAcentral.